This 79-nucleotide transfer RNA is filed under the name Methylobacterium mesophilicum. RNAcentral describes it as "tRNA-Leu". The record is from RNAcentral. Lineage: Bacteria; Pseudomonadati; Pseudomonadota; Alphaproteobacteria; Hyphomicrobiales; Methylobacteriaceae.
GCCGACCUGAUGGGAACAAGGUAGACCUCACCCGCUCAGAACGGGUGGUUUCCGGGUUCGAGGCCCGGGGUCGGCACCA